AACGAACGCUGGCGGCAGGCUUAACACAUGCAAGUCGAACGCGUGUAGCAAUACACGAGUGGCGCACGGGUGAGUAACGCGUGGAUAUCUGCCUUUUGGUUCGGAAUAACUCCGGGAAACUGGAGCUAAUACCGGAUGGUUCCUACGGGAUAAAGAUUUAUCGCCAAAAGAUGAGUCCGCGUACGAUUAGCUAGUUGGUGAGGUAAUGGCUCACCAAGGCGACGAUCGUUAGCUGGUCUGAGAGGACGAUCAGCCACACUGGGACUGAGACACGGCCCAGACUCCUACGGGAGGCAGCAGUGGGGAAUAUUGGACAAUGGGGGCAACCCUGAUCCAGCCAUGCCGCGUGAGUGAUGAAGGCCUUCGGUGUAAGCUCUUUUGGUCGGGGACGGAUGAUGACGGUACCCGCAGAAUAAGACCCUGGCUAACUUCGUGCCAGCAGCCGCGGUAA
RNAcentral lists this ribosomal RNA (451 nucleotides) under uncultured bacterium. RNAcentral describes it as "bacterial SSU rRNA". It matches the Rfam family "Bacterial small subunit ribosomal RNA", at positions 29 to 523 of the family's 1533-position model. The record is from RNAcentral.